GUGGGGAAUCUUGCGCAAUGGGCGAAAGCCUGACGCAGCCAUGCCGCGUGAAUGAUGAAGGUCUUAGGAUUGUAAAAUUCUUUCACCGGGGACGAUAAUGACGGUACCCGGAGAAGAAGCUCCGGCUAACUUCGUGCCAGCAGCCGCGGUAAUACGAAGGGGGCUAGCGUUGCUCGGAAUUACUGGGCGUAAAGGGCGCGUAGGCGGACAGCUUAGUCAGAGGUGAAAGCCCAGGGCUCAACCGUGGAAUUGCCUUUGAUACUGGCUGUCUUGAGUUUGGGAGAGGUGAGUGGAACUCCGAGUGUAGAGGUGAAAUUCGUAGAUAUUCGGAAGAACACCAGUGGCGAAGGCGACUCACUGGCCCAAUACUGACGCUGAGGCGCGAAAGCGUGGGGAGCAAACAGGAUUAGAAACCCGGGUAGUCC
This 425-nucleotide ribosomal RNA is filed under the name uncultured bacterium. RNAcentral describes it as "partial 16S ribosomal RNA". It matches the Rfam family "Bacterial small subunit ribosomal RNA", at positions 354 to 796 of the family's 1533-position model. The record is from RNAcentral.